Leopardus geoffroyi (Geoffroy's cat) is the source of this 824-nucleotide long non-coding RNA. RefSeq lists it as uncharacterized. The transcript is spliced from 3 exons. The record is from RefSeq and is a predicted model, not a curated record. Lineage: Eukaryota; Metazoa; Chordata; Mammalia; Carnivora; Felidae.
UGGUGACCGGGCGACCCGCUUGGGGUCUGCCCUCGUGAGGCGCACAUUCAGUUCACUGUCCCCCUGUGAUUACCUAAGGCUGCCAGAUCCUGAAGGAGGGAGGAGGGGUGUGAAGCUUACUUUCCUGCCCUCAUCAGUGUGCCCUUCUUUCUGUUCUUCGUCCAGAUGCUGUAAUUCCGUGCUUGGAAUCCUUGGCUCCUAUGAAGGCAAAUGUACACACACAGGAAACACAGUGUUCUUGAGUUGCAUGCUGUGCUUCAGUAGCUGUCUUUUGUUCAGAACUUCAGCAUACUUGCAGAUCAUUUACCGUGUGUUUGAUAUACAAAACCAGCACAGGCUCUUUUUAAGCUGCCUCCAUGACUGGUGCUCUGUCCCAGGUAAUCAACAUGCCAAGACUUCUUUCUCUUCUCACUUAAUUAUAGAAAUGACAUUUCCUCUCUGCAAAUGUUCUGACUUGGAUUUCUACUUCAACAGAAAGAUUCCUUUCAAGUAUGGACCAUUCACUCUCAUUUGCACUGUUGCAAAUCUGGAAAACAUGAAAGCAGCAGAGCAUAUUUAAAAGUACCCAAAAAGCAAUGAACCAGAGGUUUUGUUCCACUUUUUACUAAUUAUCUUUGUGACAUUAGAUAAGCCACUUAAUCUGCUUGAGUCUCAUAUUUCUAUGUAGUAAAUUAGUAGGUAAUAGCAAAAUAAUCUGUCACCUCUCUCAUACUUUAAUAUUUUGUGAUUUCUAGCCAGAAAAAUACACUGAUUUACUAAGUACAGAACUUUUUCUUGCCAUUCCUAAUAAACUGGGAAAAAUAGUCUAAUAAAAUCUUCAGAGU